Molecule: ribosomal RNA, 228 nt
Filed under: uncultured bacterium
Lineage: Bacteria
Description: partial 16S ribosomal RNA
Rfam family: Bacterial small subunit ribosomal RNA
Source: RNAcentral
UACGAAGGGGGCUAGCGUUGCUCGGAAUCACUGGGCGUAAAGGGCGCGUAGGCGGCCAUUCAAGUCGGGGGUGAAAGCCUGUGGCUCAACCACAGAAUUGCCUUCGAUACUGUUUGGCUUGAGUAUGGUAGAGGUCAGUGGAACUGCGAGUGUAGAGGUGAAAAUUCGUAGAUAUUCGCAAGAACACCAGUGGCGAAGGCGGCUGACUGGACCAUUACUGACGCUGAG